UUGCUCUUCAACGAGGAAUACCUAGUAAGCGUGAGUCAUCAGCUCGCGUUGAUUACGUCCCUGCCCUUUGUACACACCGCCCGUCGCUACUACCGAUUGAAUGGCUUAGUGAGGUCUUCGAAUUGGCUUUGGGGAUCCGGCAACGGAACCUUAUUGCUGAGAAGUUGAUCAAACUUGGUCAUUUAGAGGAAGUAAAAGUCGUAACAAGGUUUCCGUAGGUGAACCUGCGGAAGGAUCAUUAAUGGAAUAAACCUGGUGGACUGUCGCUGGCUCUCUUGAGAGCAUGUGCACGUCUGUCAUCUUUAUCUUUCCACCUGUGCACCUUUUGUAGACCUGGAUGCUUAAUAUAUCAAUCUGAGGUCAACUCAGGCGUGAGGACUGUCGGCGUCGCAAGAUAUCGGCUUUCCUUGUAGCAUUCCAGGGACUAUGUUUUUCAUACACACUUUAAAAAUCUAAUAGAAUGUCGUUUUAAAAAGGUCUUUGUACCUAUAUAAAACAAAUAUACAACUUUCAGCAACGGAUCUCUUGGCUCUCGCAUCGAUGAAGAACGCAGCGAAAUGCGAUAAGUAAUGUGAAUUGCAGAAUUCAGUGAAUCAUCGAAUCUUUGAACGCAUCUUGCGCUCCUUGGUAUUCCGAGGAGCAUGCCUGUUUGAGUGUCAUUAAAUUCUCAACCUUGUCAGCUUUUACCGGCUGGUCAAGACUUGGAUGUGGGGGUUUUUUGCAGGUCUUCACAGAUCUGCUCCCCUGAAAUACAUUAGCGGUGCCUCUGUAGUGUGAGCGGCUAUUUGGUGUGAUAAUCUAUCUACGCCAUUAGACGGCCUACAUCUCUUGAAUGAGAAGGAGGGAUUAAUCUGCUUAUAACCGUCCUUCAGGACAUAUAUGACUAUUUGACCUCAAAUCAGGUAGGACUACCCGCUGAACUUAAGCAUAUCAAUAAGCGGAGGA
This 945-nucleotide ribosomal RNA is filed under the name uncultured fungus. Its description in RNAcentral is "eukaryotic LSU rRNA". The stretch from base 1 to 241 matches the Rfam family "Eukaryotic small subunit ribosomal RNA", at positions 1593 to 1831 of the family's 1831-position model. Lineage: Eukaryota; Fungi. The record is from RNAcentral.